CAUAAAAACCCUAGCUAAACACCGCCUUCUGUGAACCUCACUGUGUCUCUCACUCUUCUACUGUCCAGCUCCAAAAGGCAGCGGAAUUUGAAGAAAAUGCCGCUUGUACCUCAAGAUUUGUUGCUCUUUCGGCACCUUAACAUAUUUUGGUGAGCUUUUAUUAAGAUAUAUUUAUGUAAAUGUAAUAAAAAAAGGUGACCAAUUAGCCAGUCAUACACAAUCGGCCCCUAAUAAGGGCCCAUUUUGCUAUGUGUGAAUGGUCAGUAUGUCACCAACAGUAAUAUUAAUGGUGUUUAAUAGCGUUAAUUCUGGUGAAUUGCGUCUAAUUCCGCUUUCACUGACGGGCUAUUGACACUACAUUCUUGUCAAUAAUCUGAUAGAGAAGGGAAGUGUUCAUAAAUGGAGAGUUAAUUAAUUAAUUAAUCUCUUUUGAGCUUCUUUAAGAGCAAUUUUGGUUCGACUUUUAACAUCAUUGCACAUUCCUUAAAGAAAUUGGCAUUAGGGAACUUGUGUGAGAUUGUAAAUGUGACUGGAUUAAAUAGGCGAAUAGUGAAUAGCUUUUAACGUCAAUGUAUUUUCUAUUUCUUAUUUUUUGCAGUGUAGAUUUCAGGUCUUAAUGGAAAUAUGCAUGAAAAUUGGGUAUAAAGACCGGAAAUUGGAUUUACUGAACUUGAGGAUAAACAAUGUUUUUGCAUAUAGAUGGUGAAGACUGAAAGGUUGAAACAAAAAAAUUCAUUAUGAGUUUAGAAGAACGAAAAUGAGGUGAGGCAAAAGCUACAAAUUUUUCGGCUGAAUACAUAUGCGACCAUUUUCGUAUAGACACCUCAACUAAGGGUGUGACCUAUGACCAUUUUCAUUUAGACACCUCAACUAAGGGUGUGACCUAUUGAACACUUGUACGACGAAUAUACAACAAUAACAACGACGACCUAGUAAAAUCUCACUAGUGGGGUCUGCGGAGGGUCGGGUGUACGUAGACCCCCUACCCAGAGGAGUAGAGAGGCUAUUUCCGAAAGACCCUUGGCUCGAGAAACGAAAAGAGACAAAUAUGUACCUAUUAAACACAUGUUGCUGAGAGUCAAGUACUUUGUCGUUGGAGAGAUUGUCAUUAAGCUGUUUAAUAGGUACAGGAAUAUAGCUUAAGUGUUCAAUAGGUCACACCCUUAGUUGAGCUGUCUAAAUGAAAAUUUGUGCCAAGUUUAACCUGUAAAAAGUUCGAUGAGUUUACAAGAACGAAAAUGAGGUAAGGCAUCAAGUACCAAAAGAAGGCAUUAGAUACAGGAUUAGUUCAAAGAUUUUAUAGGAUUCUCAUGCACUUGCUGUUGUAGUGUAAGAAAAACUCCAUUCUUGUAAACAACUUGAGAGAUUUUGUUUAAUGGUGUUCUCAUUAGCAUGAUUUUGUUUAAACACCAAGAAACGCUUUUGCAUAAAUUAAAUUUCAAAUGGGUUCUAUUUGGUUUAGACAAUUGGAGCUUGAAGAAUCAAGGCUGGAAAGUGUCAAGGUGGAACCAGAUGCAAAAGAUCAAUUAAUUUGGGGGGAGUCAACACAUGGACAAUACUCUGUUAAAAUUGGCUAUAUCAAUGCUUACAAAACUGACAGAACAGUGGAUGUUUGGACAUGGAAGUCGAUGUGGAAGAUUAAGAUACCAGUCAAUCCGCUGUUGCUUGCUUUUGGUUGGACAGCCAUUCUUGAAAGAUGCUUGACGCACGACAACCUAAAUAGAAGAGGAUUUUAUCUGCGCAGCAGGUGCUACAUGUGUCAAAAAGAUGCAGAAGAUAUUCCUCACCUUCUACUCCACUGUGAAGUAGCUAGAGAGUUAUGGAGCGGGCUCUUAAGUAUUUUUUGGGUUCACUGGAUGCCGCCCUACAACAUUAGAGAUGCCUAUGCAAUCCGGGGUCUUUGGAGAGUUAGGAAUCUCUUGUAGGAAAUCUGGUUAAUCACUCCAGCCUGUAUAUUUUGGUGUUCGACAGAAAGGAAGUACAGAUGCUUUGAUGGAGUUCUAACUCCUAAUCACUCCCUCAAACCUAGGUGUUUGACUAAGCUUUUUCGCUGGUGCAAUCUGCACAAUGUAAAUAGCAUAGAGCACAUUGAUUUUGUUAGCUCCGUGAGCCUUAUUUAAGAACUCAAUGAAUGUGUAUUGGAGCUAAUCUUGUAUUUUGCUCUGCAUCCUCUAGAUGCUUAUCAAUGAAAUGCUUUAUCUAAAAAAUAAUUGGAGCAUGAAGUAUCUUGACUAUUAUUUGAAAAUUUUGCGACAUGGUUCCUUCAAGUGAUGUUUGUUUGAGCUGUAGGGUGUUUCCUUUGUUAUAUGUCAACUGGCAUUGCAUAAGGCAAAGAUUUUGGUAGCUAAAUAGCUAGUCAUGAAUAGGUCAAAUGCUUAAAUCUGCAUGAAUAGUCAGUAAGCUCACCUAGUUGUGGCCUAUUAUUAGAAACUGAUUCGCAAGUUGAAUGUUGUGCUGUGACUACAGUAAUACCCCAACCAAUCCUUAUUUUAUGAUGUUAUACUUAAUAACUGAGUUUUCUACUUUACUGUGUUGAGUUUGUAUGGUUGGAUCUCAACUUCAUGUGAAACAAUAGAUGCCUUUUUUGCUUUACAUGCAUUGAACAAUCCUACGAGAAUCUGAGGUUCCAUUGGAUUUUCAGAGUUAACAACGAAAUACCAGUUCUUGUUGUCUGGCUCAUUGGGUAAAGGGCCUAGUUAAGAUGUUAAAUGUGUUUUAGAGGAGUAACUUCUACGACUUUGUAGUUCUAAUAACCAGGAGCGAAAUAGUUUGGUCUACAUUGAUGUAUUUUACCCUUUUGCAGAAAAUGUAGUGCCCAUGUUUUGGUGAUAGGAGUAUUUUAUCCAUUUGUGAAUUUAUUAUGGCGAAACUAAGUAUUUGUCAGUAACUUUGUUGCCUACGUGCGUGUAGUAUUCGACAAAGCAUCCUUCUUUCAGUGUAAUGAAUUUAACACCACAACUCUUGUCACAAGCAUUCUGCAUAAUUCUUGGAAUUAAUUGCCUGAAGAUGAAACUUGAUGUGCUUCUUGAGAGGAAAAGACCUAGAUAAGUCCUUUAAGUUUGGGUAUAGGAGUAUUUUAUCCCUUAUCUUUGUAAAAGUGGAGGGAUGUAGUAUAGAUAAAGUAUAAAAUACUCCUAUGCCCAAACUUAAGGGACUAUCUAGGUCGUUUCCUUUGCUUCUUGAUGAUCUAUCAAUGUUGUUGCUUCUUUAAACUUGUUCAAUCUUGUUUGCUACAUGUUUCUCAAUAUAUUCAAUCUGCAGUUGACAGUGCCUGACACAACAAAGGAACUACUAGCUUGCUGGUAAAAUAGUUGCAGAAAGAAAAACUUCACAAUUAAUUUGGGCAACGAUACCAGCUUGUAUUUGGUGGACUGCGUCGAAGGAGAAGAACCUGAGAUGUUUUGAGAGCAAAGUUGCAGCAGUUACAGUUUGUCCAUAUUCAUCUCGGCAUUCUAUGAUCUUCACUAGUUCAUCCAAGCACCACUUCAAUGUUGCAUAAUUCUUUGAGAAAAUGAUGAGAGCAACUUGACACACUUAGAUUUUAAGUAGUAAAUCUAUGUGCAGGUUAUAUAUGAUUAUUUGCCGCAAGUGAUAUGCCCGUUCGAUCAAUCUCCAAGAAAAAGAAAUGUGGCCAUACAACCAGAGGCGGAUCCAGAAUUUGAUGACUGUGGGUGCCACUAUUUUAAUGCAAGCCGACCACUAAUGAAGAAAAUUAAAUUACAGUGUAUAUUCAGUCGAUUCGAUCCGUUUUGGAUUAACUCGGUUCGGUUCAAUCCGUUUUUGAAUUUAUUCAAUCCAAUUUACAUAAACGAAUAUGUGAUACGUCCUUCAUUCUACAUGUAGCUGA
Molecule: long non-coding RNA, 3847 nt
Filed under: Nicotiana tabacum (common tobacco)
Lineage: Eukaryota; Viridiplantae; Streptophyta; Magnoliopsida; Solanales; Solanaceae
Description: long non-coding RNA (NTAB_LNC016670)
Source: RNAcentral